This 731-nucleotide ribosomal RNA is filed under the name uncultured bacterium. RNAcentral's name for it is "bacterial SSU rRNA". It matches the Rfam family "Bacterial small subunit ribosomal RNA", at positions 60 to 760 of the family's 1533-position model. The record is from RNAcentral.
AGUCGACGAGAGGACAUGGGAAGCUUGCUUCCUAUGAAAUCGAGUGGCAAACGGGUGAGUAACGCGUAAACAACCUGCCCUUCGGAUGGGGAUAACAGCCGGAAACGGCUGCUAAUACCGAAUACGAUCUUUUCGUCGCAUGACGGAAAGAAGAAAGGAUGGCCUCUAUACAAAGCUAUCGCCGAAGGAGGGGUUUGCGUCUGAUUAGCUGGUUGGAGGGGUGACGGCCCAACAAGGCGAUGAUCAGUAGCCGGUCUGAGAGGAUGAACGGCCACAUUGGGACUGAGACACGGCCCAGACUCCUACGGGAGGCAGCAGUGGGGAAUCUUCCGCAAUGGACGAAAGUCUGACGGAGCAACGCCGCGUGAGUGAAGAAGGUCUUCGGAUUGUAAAGCUCUGUUAUACGGGACGAAAAAGACGGAUGCCAACAGUAUCCGUCCGUGACGGUACCGUAAGAGAAAGCCACGGCUAACUACGUGCCAGCAGCCGCGGUAAUACGUAGGUGGCAAGCGUUGUCCGGAAUUAUUGGGCGUAAAGGGCGCGCAGGCGGUUCGGUAAGUCUGUCUUAAAAGUGCGGGGCUUAACCCCGUGAGGGGACGGAAACUGUCGAACUUGAGUGUCGGAGAGGAAAGCGGAAUUCCUAGUGUAGCGGUGAAAUGCGUAGAUAUUAGGAGGAACACCGGUGGCGAAAGCGGCUUUCUGGACGACAACUGACGCUGAGGCGCGAAAGC